GAUGAACGCUGGCGGCGUGCCUAAUACAUGCAAGUCGAGCGAACGGACGAGAAGCUUGCUUCUCUGAUGUUAGCGGCGGACGGGUGAGUAACACGUGGAUAACCUACCUAUAAGACUGGGAUAACUUCGGGAAACCGGAGCUAAUACCGGAUGAUAUUUUGAACCGCAUGGUUCAAAAGUGAAAGACGGUCUUGCUGUCACUUAUAGAUGGAUCCGCGCUGCAUUAGCUAGUUGGUAAGGUAACGGCUUACCAAGGCAACGAUGCAUAGCCGACCUGAGAGGGUGAUCGGCCACACUGGAACUGAGACACGGUCCAGGCUCCUACGGGAGGCAGCAGUAGGGAAUCUUCCGCAAUGGGCGAAAGCCUGACGGAGCAACGCCGCGUGAGUGAUGAAGGUCUUCGGAUCGUAAAACUCUGUUAUUAGGGAAGAACAUGUGUGUAAGUAACUGUGCACAUCUUGACGGUACCUAAUCAGAAAGCCACGGCUAACUACGUGCCAGCAGCCGCGGUAAUACGUAGGUGGCAAGCGUUAUCCGGAAUUAUUGGGCGUAAAGCGCGCGUAGGCGGUUUUUUAAGUCUGAUGUGAAAGCCCACGGCUCAACCGUGGAGGGUCAUUGGAAACUGGAAAACUUGAGUGCAGAAGAGGAAAGUGGAAUUCCAUGUGUAGCGGUGAAAUGCGCAGAGAUAUGGAGGAACACCAGUGGCGAAGGCGACUUUCUGGUCUGUAACUGACGCUGAUGUGCGAAAGCGUGGGGAUCAAACAGGAUUAGAUACCCUGGUAGUCCACGCCGUAAACGAUGAGUGCUAAGUGUUAGGGGGUUUCCGCCCCUUAGUGCUGCAGCUAACGCAUUAAGCACUCCGCCUGGGGAGUACGACCGCAAGGUUGAAACUCAAAGGAAUUGACGGGGACCCGCACAAGCGGUGGAGCAUGUGGUUUAAUUCGAAGCAACGCGAAGAACCUUACCAAAUCUUGACAUCCUUUGACAACUCUAGAGAUAGAGCCUUCCCCUUCGGGGGGGACAAAGUGACAGGUGGUGCAUGGUUGUCGUCAGCUCGUGUCGUGAGAUGUUGGGUUAAGUCCCGCAACGAGCGCAACCCUUAAGCUUAGUUGCCAUCAUUAAGUUGGGCACUCUAAGUUGACUGCCGGUGACAAACCGGAGGAAGGUGGGGAUGACGUCAAAUCAUCAUGCCCCUUAUGAUUUGGGCUACACACGUGCUACAAUGGACAAUACAAAGGGCAGCGAAACCGCGAGGUCAAGCAAAUCCCAUAAAGUUGUUCUCAGUUCGGAUUGUAGUCUGCAACUCGACUACAUGAAGCUGGAAUCGCUAGUAAUCGUAGAUCAGCAUGCUACGGUGAAUACGUUCCCGGGUCU
Molecule: ribosomal RNA, 1374 nt
Filed under: uncultured bacterium
Lineage: Bacteria
Description: bacterial SSU rRNA
Rfam family: Bacterial small subunit ribosomal RNA
Source: RNAcentral